RNAcentral lists this ribosomal RNA (301 nucleotides) under uncultured bacterium. RNAcentral's name for it is "partial 16S ribosomal RNA". It matches the Rfam family "Bacterial small subunit ribosomal RNA", at positions 509 to 809 of the family's 1533-position model. The record is from RNAcentral.
CAGUAGCCGCGGUAAUACGGAGGGUGCAAGCGUUAAUCGGAAUUACUGGGCGUAAAGCGCACGCAGGCGGUCUGUCAAGUCAGAUGUGAAAUCCCCGGGCUUAACCUGGGAACUGCAUUUGAAACUGGCAGGCUAGAGUCUUGUAGAGGGGGGUAGAAUUCCAGGUGUAGCGGUGAAAUGCGUAGAGAUCUGGAGGAAUACCGGUGGCGAAGGCGGCCCCCUGGACAAAGACUGACGCUCAGGUGCGAAAGCGUGGGGAGCAAACAGGAUUAGAUACCCCAGUAGUCCCUGUCUCUUAUAA